This 550-nucleotide ribosomal RNA is filed under the name uncultured bacterium. Its description in RNAcentral is "bacterial SSU rRNA". It matches the Rfam family "Bacterial small subunit ribosomal RNA", at positions 355 to 896 of the family's 1533-position model. The record is from RNAcentral.
UGGGGAAUAUUGGACAAUGGGCGAAAGCCUGAUCCAGCCAUGCCGCGUGAGUGAAGAAGGUUUUCGGAUCGUAAAGCUCUGUUGUAAGAGAAGAACGAGUGUGAGAGUGGAAAGUUCACACUGUGACGGUAUCUUACCAGAAAGGGACGGCUAACUACGUGCCAGCAGCCGCGGUAAUACGUAGGUCCCGAGCGUUGUCCGGAUUUAUUGGGCGUAAAGCGAGCGCAGGCGGUUAGAUAAGUCUGAAGUUAAAGGCUGUGGCUUAACCAUAGUAGGCUUUGGAAACUGUUUAACUUGAGUGCAAGAGGGGAGAGUGGAAUUCCAUGUGUAGCGGUGAAAUGCGUAGAUAUAUGGAGGAACACCGGUGGCGAAAGCGGCUCUCUGGCUUGUAACUGACGCUGAGGCUCGAAAGCGUGGGGAGCAAACAGGAUUAGAUACCCUGGUAGUCCACGCUGUAAACGAUGAGUGCUAGGUGUUAGACCCUUUCCGGGGUUUAGUGCCGUAGCUAACGCAUUAAGCACUCCGCCUGGGGAGUACGACCGCAAGGUUG